GUCAGCCCAGAGCCCGACGCGGGGCUCGAACUCACAGACCUCGAGAUCAUGACCUGAGCUGAAGUCGGCCGCUUAACCAACUGAGCCAACCAGGUGCCCCUGAAGGAAAAUUUGUAAAGAGGUGUUGUUCCUUGGGCUUUGGUCCGUUUCUCUCUGUAUGUCCUCUUUCAACUCUGUAAUGACCACCUGGCCCAGUUAGUCUUUCUCAUCUGCACCCGUGAGCUUCGCUGUAUGCCCUGUACCUCCUGGGCGAGUCUGCUCUGAAGGUUAUAGAUAUCACCCCCUGUCCCGCCCAUCCCUCCCAGUCCCUUGGAUGUCACCAUUUCCUAGUGACCUUGACUUGUCUCCUUGAUAGUGUACCCAUCCUAUGUUUCAAUCCUCCAGGGCCCAUGAAGGGAAUGAGAGAGUUAUUUUUUUUCUAUACAGAGUUAGCUUAUUUUGCAUUUGCAAUUGCAUUUUGAUAAACUGCAAAUAUGCCUAAUGUCGACGUGCCCCAGGACCUCUUCUUAUCUUCACCUUCCCCUCCUUGGUGAUCUCAUCCAGUUUCAAGGCUUUAAAGACAUCUCUAUAUAGAUGACUCUUGAAUUGACAACCCAUGCCCUCUGCCUAUCUGAGUUUUCCACUGGGGUGACCAAUAGACAUCUCGGAAUGAAGACUGUAUGCCCAAGCCCCAGUUUCCAUCUACAGUCUUCUCCGUGCAAGUAUAUGGUAACUUUAUUGUCCCAGCUGCUCAGGACAACAAAUUGGGGCCAUCCUUUACUCUUCCUUUGUCCUCACGUCUGAAAAGGGUUGGUUCUCCUUCAAAUAGAUCUUCCCUCAGCUACCACUCUAGCCUAAGCCACCAUCCACCCUAUCCUGCUUUGGCUGUUCCAAUAAGCUUCCAAUAAGUUCCAAUUCUCCUUGUGAUCUACUCUUAACAGCCGGAGUGAUCUUGUUAAAAAAGCAAAUCACAUCAUCUGGCUCCUCGGUUUAUACCCUCCCACGGCUCCUACUUUACGGGAGGAGUCAAGCCGGAAACUGUUCUCUUCACCUCUGCUUCUCUGGAUAAAACAGAAACAAGCCUUGCUUGCUCUAGGCCCUUCUCUUGUGUUGUCCCUCCAGCUCCUGUGUGUGUGGGGGGGGGGGGGGGGCGCAGGGGCUCCUAAUGUUUACAAGGCCCCACCCAGAUGCAAAGUUAUCCUCACAUGCUAAUCAGUUGGUCAUUUUAAAUUUGGUCAAGGUUAGAUUUGUUAAGAAAGGUCUUCCCCAGAUCCUAGAACUCUCCUCACUAGCCCUGGAAGAUAAGACCUUCUAGUGGCUUUAUCUAAGGAGAGAUUGUCCUCUUUGUCCCCACCCCCGACCCCCACCGGUGGCUGUUCUGUCGCCACAGGGCAGGUCAGGGCCCACACCCACAGGAAAUGCCUAUUUGUUUCAAGGAACAUUUAACUCAGCAGCUUUCUUCUACUUGGGCCUGCGACUCCUUUUUCUCCCUUUUUUUCCCCCUUUAAGAAAACUAAGUCCAUUUUAAUUUUAUGGGCUUGACAGAACUAGGACAAUAGGACAAUGUUUCCUCGGAUCAAAAUUUUUUGUGAGAAUUUUUUUGGCAGAAUCAGUGUUUGCAAGAAGCAGAUAAAACUUGACUGUUGGAGAACCUCGCCGUAGCAAGCAGCUGCCUGCCAGCAAAUCUUCAGUUAACAACAGAGCUGGAGUCAUUGUUAGCCAGGAAACCAGUCUUUUUGCACCUGUCUGGAGGGAGGGCAGAGGAAGAAACUGAAGCAGUGGACAGGCUCAGACCCUUAUGUUCCCAAAGGAAUGGUGAGCAACUUUGACCAGAGCGCCAGUGUCUUUUUGCAAACACAGCCAACAGUGGAGGAUUUGCAGGGCGGCCUGUUUAAUGCCGCAUCAUAAACCACUAAAAACUCAGUGACUUAAAACAUCGACCAACUUUAUUUUUAUUGUAAGUCUUUGGAUCAGGAGUCUGGGCAGGGUUCUGCUGGGUGAUUUGUUUGUUCUAGUGGUAUCAGCUGGGAUACUUGGCGGGUUAGUGCCUGGUCUGAAGAACACAAGACAGCAUCACUUGGCACGUCCUGGUCCCUCAGUGUUGACAUCUGGCAGGAUGGACUCAGCUGGAUCCCUCUCUUCCAUGGAGUCCCACUCCCCAGAAAGGGAGUGGGAUUUUUUUUUCCAUAGUGGCUCAAAGCUCUAGAGGAAGGAAGCAGAAACUGUAGUCCUCUUAAAGGCUGGACCCAGCAUUGGCCGAGCAGUCACCGAGCCUGCCCCGACUCAAAGGGUGGGGUGCCCGGAGGACCGGGGGUGCAGACAACCUGGCGGGAGAAGUCUUGAGGAUUUGCAGCUCACUCUAAUCCUUCACGACAGGGUCGAUUAAACUGUACGGGUAUAACAGCACAGAUGUCAAUCUGUGGCUUCCACUUUUACGAUUCUGUAAAUUUCUUUCGGACACUGUUGUCAGCCUAGCCCUGAAGCGGAACACAUCCGCCCUUCUGUCCCUAUUUAACCUCUGUCCUCUGGCGAGGCUCCCUGAAUCUGACCUACUCUCAUCUUGGGCUUUGGAAAACCUUUCAUCAGUGAGGCAUCAUGGCCACGCCCAUGACCACCGCUGGACAGCAGGGUCCAGAGCAGCUCUACCCGGUAGAAAUAUAAUUGUGUAUACACAUACAGACCAUCCUGAUUCAGUCCGGUUCAGUCCUGCCUCGUCUCGAGUGCUCAACAGCUACAGGUGGCUGGUGGCUACCACAGUGGACAGCACUGGUCUAAAGCUCUGU
This is a long non-coding RNA of Prionailurus viverrinus (fishing cat), 2762 nucleotides long. RefSeq lists it as uncharacterized. The transcript has 4 exons. The record is from RefSeq and is a predicted model, not a curated record. NCBI's taxonomy places the organism in Eukaryota, Metazoa, Chordata, Mammalia, Carnivora, Felidae.